Molecule: ribosomal RNA, 443 nt
Filed under: uncultured bacterium
Lineage: Bacteria
Description: partial 16S ribosomal RNA
Rfam family: Bacterial small subunit ribosomal RNA
Source: RNAcentral
CCUACGGGAGGCAGCAGUGGGGAAUCUUGGGCAAUGGAGGCAACUCUGACCCAGCAAUGCCGCGUGAAUGAAGAAGGUCUUCGGAUUGUACAGUUCUUUAGUCAGGGAAGAAGUCAAUGACGGUACCUGAAGACUAAGCUCCGGCUAACUACGUGCCAGCAGCCGCGGUAAUACGUAGGAGGCAAGCGUUAUCCGGAAUGACUGGGCGUAAAGGGUGCGUAGGUGGGUUGACAAGUUAGUAGCGCAACUCCGGAGCUCAACUUCGGAACUACUACUAAAACUGUUGGACUUGAGUGCAGGAGGGGCAAGCGGAAUUCCUAGUGUAGCGGUGGAAUGCGUAGAUAUUAGGAGGAACACCAGUGGCGAAGGCGGAUUGCUAGACUGUAACUGACACUGAGGCACGAAAGCGUGGGGAGCAAACAGGAUUAGAUACCCGGGUAGUC